CGUAACAAGGUCUCCGUUGGUGAACCAGCGGAGGGAUCAUUACCGAGUUUACAACUCCCAAACCCCUGUGAACAUACCACUUGUUGCCUCGGCGGAUCAGCCCGCUCCCGGUAAAACGGGACGGCCCGCCAGAGGACCCCUAAACUCUGUUUCUAUAUGUAACUUCUGAGUAAAACCAUAAAUAAAUCAAAACUUUCAACAACGGAUCUCUUGGUUCUGGCAUCGAUGAAGAACGCAGCAAAAUGCGAUAAGUAAUGUGAAUUGCAGAAUUCAGUGAAUCAUCGAAUCUUUAAACGCACAUUGCGCCCGCCAGUAUUCUGGCGGGCAUGCCUGUUCGAGCGUCAUCUCAACCCUCAAGCCCUCGGGUUUGGUGUUGGGGAUCGGCGAGCCCUUGCGGCAAGCCGGCCCCGAAAUCUAGUGGCGGUCUCGCUGUAGCCUCCAUUGCGUAGUAGUAAAACCCUCGCAACUGGAACGCGGCGCGGCCAAGCCGUUAAACCCCCAACUUCUGAAUGUUGACCUCGGAUCAGGUAGGAAUACCCGCUGAACUUAAGC
This 552-nucleotide ribosomal RNA is filed under the name uncultured fungus. RNAcentral's name for it is "eukaryotic LSU rRNA". The stretch from base 191 to 344 matches the Rfam family "5.8S ribosomal RNA". The record is from RNAcentral. Lineage: Eukaryota; Fungi.